AAUAAAGGUUUUGGGACUUCACUUACAUGCAACAAGCAGCAGCCCAUUGGUGUUGAUUGCAUUCUGGGCCGUUUAUCAAAUAAACUUGUACAGUGGUAAUAUUUGCGAACGGGGUGGUCGUUUCCUUUGAACAGCAUCACACAGGUUCGUUUUAAUUAGAUGACAAUAAUAUCUCUGCCAGUUUAUGCUUCCAACAUUCGAUAGCCGCCACCAAGUGAAUGUGUUUAAAGACGGUGAAUUUUAUCAGCUGCGGCGUUUCACUGGUGUAACGGCUGCACGGCUUCCAUCGUUAGUGAUCAGCUCCCCUGGCCAUGUAAUGACAUGUUUCUGGCAAGAAAUGUGCUGGCUAGCACGAAAAUUCAUCGCUGGAACCGAGCAGUCUUCUUGGAGACUACCCACGAAAGCGGAUUAACCUUGCAGCCUCUGCGCAUGUGCACCGCCUCCAAGACGCUGCUCAUGUUUGUUCACCUCUAUGGACUCUAUUGUGUCUGGACAUACAAGUCAACAGUGAAUGUAUCACCACUGGAAGUAACAUCAAGGGCCAGAAUCCUCACAAGGAAGAUGGACAAAAGAGAGGUUAUUGGUUUGCAAGCUGCCCAUGUCAAGCCAUAAGAAGCUAAACAGUCACCAUAAUGAUAACAGGUUGUCUUGAACUAUGUGCCUGACCAUGAAAUGUUCGCAAGGUUACGAGAUAGAGGGGUGUGAACCCUAUCAGGAAAGCUACAGUCAACAGUUUUGUACUGUACAGAGCGAGAAUGCUAAAAUUUGACAUACAAGCUUACUUGCUUUUAAGGUGGUUUUAUGACAAACAGAGAAGUUAACAUGUUUCUUUUUUAGUCAUUAUAGCCAUGAUGACCAGAACAGAAGCAAUGUAGCAAGCUCCUACUUGCUAAUGCACAAACUAUGUCAUCUGCUCUUUGCAAAUCAGCUUAGUGGGCAUAACCACCAAGUAUCACAUGCUGCCUCACAAUGUUAAUUUGCUGCAUGAAAGUGCAAAUAAUUUUAGAAUGAUCAAAACCGCUCAAUGCAAUUUUGAGGAAAUGAUACUUCAUGCUGACUGAAUCUCUGGCAGUCACUCUUACAUGGUUCAUGUACAGUUUGCACGUAAUCAAUAACAAGGCUAGCCCUGUACUGUAAGAUAAGAAAUAGCUAGAAAAGGCAAGCUCACAUAACCGGCCUACUCCACAUUUCACAAACAUGACAAAUCACUAAAAAGAAUUUUUCUUUCUCUUCAAACAGCAGAUGACAAAUCUGAGAACAGUGUGUUACCAAAAUGUUUUUUGAAGUAUACUUGGAGAAUAGCAAGUUUGGGUUAACAUUCAGCCAAUCAACAGUGAACGAGCAAGGGAAGCCUCAGCUUGGGAACUUGUUUUCAUCAUCGCUCUCACAGAUAUGUUUGCUUGUUGAAACGUUGGCUCCAGGCUGAGGCUUCCCUUGCUCACCUCUGUUACUCACUCGAAAUGUUCAUCUCCUUGCAACCUUGUUUGAAUACAUAAAGCAAACUUUUUUUUCACCAUGAAACCGUAAAUCAAAUUUUCAAAGAAUCUGUGAGCAUUAAUUGGGCUUGCUUAAAUGUUUAUUUAGUGUCCUUGUUUAUUCACACAAUUUUUGCAGAAUUUCUUGUAAGCACUGUUGUCUCCCUAAUGUUCCUUGCUUUCCUAUGAGUACUUGACUUGUGUCAGAGCCUUUAAUGCCGCAUGUGAACGCUAAAUGUGCCCCAGAAAUAUCAAUAGCAGACAAUAUGUGCUGUAAAAUUUAGCAUAACAUCUAUGUUUAUUUUUUUUUUAUUUUUUUCUUAUGCUACAUGCUUCUCGCCGAUGAAAAGAAUGGGACAUUGCAGCUCGAGCUUAUCAUUCUGACACUACAUCCUUGCCUAGAAGUUUUUCUUUCUUUUUUUAAUCUAGCUGGAAUUUUUUAACGCAGACAAUAUAUGUAUAUGAAACAUUGCAAGCAGCGCUGUAUGCAACUACAGUAUGGGGGUAGCCUAGCAUAAAUAUUGUUAUAUAAAGCUUUGUUCUCCCCGCUUUAGUGGCAUGCCGAACAUGAUGAAAUUUCGCUAGUUUUCAGCUUUCAAUUCCGUUAAAUAGAUGAAUAUCUGUGUUUCUGUAUGUUGUAAACUCGGUGACUGACUGCAUUAAGUCUACCUGACCUGUACGAAAAUUUUGGGCAUGUACUGCUUCAUUCACCAUUGACAAUAAACAAUGUAAGCUUA
This 2212-nucleotide long non-coding RNA is filed under the name Dermacentor andersoni. Its description in RNAcentral is "uncharacterized LOC126546889". Lineage: Eukaryota; Metazoa; Arthropoda; Arachnida; Ixodida; Ixodidae. The record is from RNAcentral.